CUCCAACUGCUCAUCGGAGCAAGCUGCAGCCUGGACACAAGCUAGAGAUUAAUCAGUCAGGAAUGAUCCUGCGUCCAGUGCCAGCAUGAUGGAAGAGACAGAGAAACAGAAGACAUCAGGGCUCCAGAGUCAAGGAGCCUGCAGGGAGGAAACUGGAGGACCGAGCUCAGAACGCAUUUUAGAACUGGCAGAAAAGAACAUCUGGGGAAGGAAACACAUUUCAGAAACAAACAUACCUUUGUACCAGCUUUUAUUUUCUUUAAGUGUUGAAAAAAUAAUAAUAAUAAAGACAUGCCAAAUUUAUCAUCGCUCUACAAAAUCCCUUUAUUGAGCAAAACGUGGCAGCUCUACUUUCAAAUGAUCUACUGUUCCUGGAAAAUUGCAGCAACGUGGAUGCCAAGGCCCG
RNAcentral lists this long non-coding RNA (406 nucleotides) under Homo sapiens (human). RNAcentral describes it as "HSALNT0363515". Lineage: Eukaryota; Metazoa; Chordata; Mammalia; Primates; Hominidae. The record is from RNAcentral.